Corythoichthys intestinalis (scribbled pipefish) is the source of this 427-nucleotide long non-coding RNA. RefSeq lists it as uncharacterized. The transcript is spliced from 3 exons. The record is from RefSeq and is a predicted model, not a curated record. NCBI's taxonomy places the organism in Eukaryota, Metazoa, Chordata, Actinopteri, Syngnathiformes, Syngnathidae.
CCAGAAAGAAAUUAGAAAAAGAUCAAGAAAAGCAAAUUGACGAAUGCAUCAACUGUUGCUGUGUGGCGUCUGUUGCUUGAAGCGAAUUCAGACGGUCGCGUGGUGAAAAAAUUGAGCAGAAACCACUCAGCCAAAAGCCUUGUGUGAGAGGAAGAGGACCAGGCGUCGUCAGUUAAGACUCUUCGGUCAGGUUUUUUUUUCUGAUUGGAAAAAAAAAAAAGAAAUAUCAUCAGAUUGGAUUCAACGAUGGCGAGCUAACCCAGAGUGAUUUGAAGAACCAGUAACAUCGAAAAUUCUGGAAUAACAGACGGACUGUCUGUGUGGUAGGAUUGUAUCAGUCAUCGGACUGAUACCUACAAUUUUUUUCUUCCAAAGAGUGUACUCCAACGAACAUUUGAAGAAAAAAAAAAAAACUAUUGCAAUAGAA